Molecule: long non-coding RNA, 540 nt
Organism: Balaenoptera musculus (blue whale)
Lineage: Eukaryota; Metazoa; Chordata; Mammalia; Artiodactyla; Balaenopteridae
Exons: 2
Source: RefSeq, a predicted model, not a curated record
UCAAAGACACAGCCCAUGUGAAGGCCAUUGGUUCAACAAUUAUUUGUGGAGCCCUUACUAUGGGCCAAGCAGGUGUUCUGGGUCCUGGGCCCACAGCCGAGAAAACAACCAAUACAAAUCCCAGCUAUCGCGAAGCUUAUAUUCAAGAAGCCAGAAGGAAGGGAGCAGGGAGAAUGGAAGAGGAAGAAACAUGGCGGGGAUCUUCAAGGACAUGAAAUGCCACAGGUCUGACCCACGGAAUCAGCUUUGAUCGCUGCUGGGCUUCCCACCCGUAGAACAUUGCCUGGUACACGGUCACAGAACGUGCUUUCCAGGUGUGUACCAUGGUGAAGAUACCAUACAGCCUCUGAAACACACACGCCCGACCGAUCACCCCAACAACCAGAUAGCAGGUGUUCGCCAUUGAGUCUUCUUCGCCUUCUCUUAUUCUAGGUCUUGGAAGAUAGUAAAGAUGUCCUUUGUUGAUUUUAACCUGAGACAGCUCUUCUAUAGUUUGUCAUAUAUCAUGAGAACUCAGUAAAUCAUCACUAAGCAUAAGGA